This is a non-coding RNA of Phascolarctos cinereus (koala), 830 nucleotides long. Lineage: Eukaryota; Metazoa; Chordata; Mammalia; Diprotodontia; Phascolarctidae. The record is from RefSeq and is a predicted model, not a curated record.
ACAGUGGAAAGAAGGCCUGGGCCAAGAGUCAGGAGAGACCUGGUUUGAAUCCUACCACGGACACUUCACUGUGUGACCCUGGGCCAGUCAAGCAACCUAGCUGUAUCUCCUGACCAACCUUUGCUGGAAGCAUCAUCCAGGUUCAGCUCAUCCUGCUCAAGGUAAAGAAGCUAGCCUUUGAACUUGGAUUUGUGUCUUCCAGACUAGGAGCCAUUAACCUACAGCUGGUAGCAAACAGCAGGAACCAUCCAAUGUCCUCUUGUCCUUCCUUGGAUGCAGCCUGUGCUCUGUUCCAGUCAACUUCUUUGGGACCUCCUCAAGGCAUGGACAGCUCUACACUCCUUGCCAGCAGGAAGCAGUUUCAGAAGCCACACUUUGCCCCUUACCCCAAAAGAAUUUCAGUCCCAUUCCUUCGAGGGGGGAGUGAUGAGGAUGGGAUCUAGACCUCAGAAAGGAAAAACCCUGGACUUUACCACUUGGCCAAAUGUCUGGCAUUCACCUGAGGCUAUAAUCCCAUCAACUGGCCUUUCUUUGUGGCUAUACCUAAUCUCCCCUCCAUCUCUUACCUCCCUAUGGCCCCUGGCCAUUUCCCACACUUAAUCCUAGUUAGACUCCAUUGUCCAGGUGCCAGGAGUUCUGUUCACCCCAGUUUACUGGCCACUCCUAUCCACAUCUCCUUGGACCCCUCCUCCCAUCACCCCAAACUGCAUGGCCACUCCUACAUCCUUCUCACAGGCUUUCUUGUCCAUUUUGUCUCCCUUAAGAUGCUGGGAUUCUUAUAAUCUAGCCACUGCUUAGAUUUUUAUAAUCUUAUACUCUAGCCAAUAAGC